This 253-nucleotide ribosomal RNA is filed under the name uncultured bacterium. RNAcentral describes it as "partial 16S ribosomal RNA". It matches the Rfam family "Bacterial small subunit ribosomal RNA", at positions 524 to 776 of the family's 1533-position model. The record is from RNAcentral.
UACGGAGGGGGCAAGCGUUAUUCGGAAUUAUUGGGCGUAAAGAGCUCGUAGGCGGUCUGUCACGUCGGCUGUGAAAACCCGAGGCUCAACCUCGGGCCUGCAGUCGAUACGGGCAAACUAGAGUACUGCAGGGGAGACUGGAAUUCCUGGUGUAGCGGUGAAAUGCGCAGAUAUCAGGAGGAACACCGAUGGCGAAGGCAGGUCUCUGGGUCGUACCUGACGCUGAGGCGCGAAAGCGUGGGGAGCGAACGGG